This 497-nucleotide ribosomal RNA is filed under the name uncultured bacterium. Its description in RNAcentral is "partial 16S ribosomal RNA". It matches the Rfam family "Bacterial small subunit ribosomal RNA", at positions 28 to 507 of the family's 1533-position model. The record is from RNAcentral.
GAUGAACGCUGGCGGCGUGCCUAAUACAUGCAAGUCGAGCGAACGGUCGAGAAGCUUGCUUCUCUGAUGUUAGCGGCGGACGGGUGAGUAACACGUGGAUAACCUACCUAUAAGACUGGGAUAACCUCGGGAAACCGGAGCUAAUACCGGAUAAUAUUUUGAACCGCAUGGUUCAAAAGUGAAAGACGGUCUUGCUGUCACUUAUAGAUGGAUCCGCGCUGCAUUAGCUAGUUGGUAAGGUAACGGCUUACCAAGGCAACGAUGCAUAGCCGACCUGAGAGGGUGAUCGGCCACACUGGAACUGAGACACGGUCCAGACUCCUACGGGAGGCAGCAGUAGGGAAUCUUCCGCAAUGGGCGAAAGCCUGACGGAGCAACGCCGCGUGAGUGAUGAAGGUCUUCGGAUCGUAAAACUCUGUUAUUAGGGAAGAACAUAUGUGUAAGUAACUGUGCACAUCUUGACGGUACCUAAUCAGAAAGCCACGGCUAACUACGUG